This 274-nucleotide ribosomal RNA is filed under the name uncultured bacterium. RNAcentral's name for it is "partial 16S ribosomal RNA". It matches the Rfam family "Bacterial small subunit ribosomal RNA", at positions 523 to 796 of the family's 1533-position model. The record is from RNAcentral.
AUACGGAGGGUCCGAGCGUUAUCCGGAAUCAUUGGGUUUAAAGGGUCCGUAGGCGGGAAUCAAAGUCAGUGGUGAAAUCUUGCAGCUCAACUGUAAAAUUGCCAUUGAUACUGGAUUUCUUGAAUUAGUGUGAAGUGAUUAGAAUGUGUAGUGUAGCGGUGAAAUGCAUAGAUAUUACACAGAAUACCAAUUGCGAAGGCAGAUCACUAACACUAUAUUGACGCUGAGGGACGAAAGCGUGGGGAGCGAACAGGAUUAGAUACCCCAGUAGUCC